Lolium perenne is the source of this 216-nucleotide non-coding RNA. The record is from RefSeq and is a predicted model, not a curated record. Lineage: Eukaryota; Viridiplantae; Streptophyta; Magnoliopsida; Poales; Poaceae.
AUCGUAUCGAAGUACUGGGUGAUCAGCACCAUGUCCAUCACGUCCUUGGCGCUCGUGCCGGGCACGUUCUCCGCGAAGCCGAUGACGCUGUCCCUCAGCCCGUCCACGAUGGCCUGGCGCUGGCGGGCGAUACCGAGUCCGGAGAGGUACUUGGCUUCCGCUUCACCCUCGGCGCGCUUGAUCUGGACGAUCUUCUCAGCCUCCGCCUUCUCGUUU